CUCUGUUUUGCAUUCAGUUGGUCUCUGACUGUUACCGAAUGUCAAAUGGAGCAUGUUCUGGGUCGGUUUAUGUUGCCUGUCGCUUAUGCCGCCUGAGUCAUCAAAGAGUACCACAGUAUAAUCCUGCCGACUGCAGACACACAAGCCUCCUUUGUUUCAAUGCAGACAUGAAGAAAAAUCUCAAGUCAGGCGCAGUGUAUGUAUGCAGUGAUUUACUGAAGCUUCUGCCAAGUCUUAUAUAACUCACUCAAGCUGUUGGAGGGGACUGGGCCAUGAUGUUGUCAAGCACUGAAGGAUGAAAA
Molecule: long non-coding RNA, 302 nt
Organism: Phyllopteryx taeniolatus (common seadragon)
Lineage: Eukaryota; Metazoa; Chordata; Actinopteri; Syngnathiformes; Syngnathidae
Exons: 3
Source: RefSeq, a predicted model, not a curated record